RNAcentral lists this ribosomal RNA (466 nucleotides) under uncultured bacterium. Its description in RNAcentral is "partial 16S ribosomal RNA". It matches the Rfam family "Bacterial small subunit ribosomal RNA", at positions 339 to 795 of the family's 1533-position model. The record is from RNAcentral.
CUACGGGAGGCUGCAGCGAGGAAUUUUGCGCAAUGGGCGAAAGCCUGACGCAGCAACGCCGCGUGAGUGAUGAAGGCCUUCGGGUCGUAAAGCUCUGUCAAGUGGGAAGAACCUAUGUAAUGUUAAUAUCAUUAUAUACUGACGGUACCACUGAAGGAAGCACCGGCUAACUCCGUGCCAGCAGCCGCGGUAAUACGGGGGGGUGCAAGCGUUAUUCGGAAUCAUUGGGCGUAAAGGGCACGUAGGCGGCCUGGUAAGUCAGACGUGAAAGCCCGGGGCUUAACCCCGGAAGUGCAUUUGAUACUGUCAGGCUUGAGUAUGGGAGAGGGAAGUGGAAUUCCUGGUGUAGAGGUGAAAUUCGUAGAUAUCAGGAGGAGCACCGGUGGCGAAGGCGACUUCCUGGACCAAUACUGACGCUGAGGUGCGAAGGCGUGGGUAGCAAACAGGAUUAGAUACCCCAGUAGUC